Camelus ferus (Wild Bactrian camel) is the source of this 73-nucleotide non-coding RNA. The record is from Rfam. Lineage: Eukaryota; Metazoa; Chordata; Mammalia; Artiodactyla; Camelidae.
GGAGGUUACAGUUUAGUGGUAGAGUGUGUGAUUAGCAUGCACGAAGUCCUGGGUUCAAUCCCCAGUACCUCCA